CGUGGAUGAUGAAGGCCUUCGGGUUGUAAAAUCCUGUCAGAUGGAAAGAAGUGUGUAUUGCCUAAUACGUGAUACAUUUGACGGUACCAUCAAAGGAAGCACCGGCUAACUCCGUGCCAGCAGCCGCGGUAAUACGGAGGGUGCAAGCGUUGUUCGGAAUUACUGGGCGUAAAGCGCGCGUAGGCGGUUUUAUAAGUCAUUUGUGAAAGUCCCUGGCUCAACCAGGGAAGUGCAUGUGAAACUGUAAGACUUGAGUAUUGGAGGGGGUGGUGGAAUUCCCGGUGUAGAGGUGAAAUUCGUAGAUAUCGGGAGGAAUACCGGUGGCGAAGGCGACCACCUGGCCAAAUACUGACGCUGAGGUGCGAAGGCGUGGGGAGCAAACAGGAUUAGAUACCCUGGUAGUCCACGCGGUAAACGAUGAGAACUAGGUGUUGGGAUGGUUAAUCGUCUCAUUGCCGGAGCUAACGCAUUAA
This 473-nucleotide ribosomal RNA is filed under the name uncultured delta proteobacterium. Its description in RNAcentral is "bacterial SSU rRNA". It matches the Rfam family "Bacterial small subunit ribosomal RNA", at positions 400 to 863 of the family's 1533-position model. The record is from RNAcentral. Lineage: Bacteria; Deltaproteobacteria.